RNAcentral lists this ribosomal RNA (247 nucleotides) under uncultured bacterium. RNAcentral describes it as "partial 16S ribosomal RNA". It matches the Rfam family "Bacterial small subunit ribosomal RNA", at positions 337 to 585 of the family's 1533-position model. The record is from RNAcentral.
UCCUACGGGAGGCAGCAGUGGGGAAUAUUGCACAAUGGGCGCAAGCCUGAUGCAGCGACGCCGCGUGAGGGAUGACGGCCUUCGGGUUGUAAACCUCUUUCAGUAGGGAACAAGGCCAGUGUUUAGCUGGUUGAGGGUACUUGCAGAAGAAGCGCCGGCUAACUACGUGCCAGCAGCCGCGGUAAUACGUAGGGCGCAAGCGUUAUCCGGAAUUAUUGGGCGUAAAGAGCUCGUAGGCGGUUUGUCG